CACGUAGGGGACGAGCGUUGUCCGGAUUCAUUGGGCGUAAAGCGCGCGUAGGCGGCUCGGAAAGUCGGUCGUGAAAUGCCGGGGCUCAACCCCGGGACUGCGUCCGAUACUUCCGGGCUGGAGGUAGGUAGGGGAGAUCGGAAUUCCUGGUGUAGCGGUGAAAUGCGCAGAUAUCAAGUGGAACACCAGUGGCGAAGGCGAGUCCCUGGACAACUCUUGACACUGAGGCACGAAAGCUAGGGGAGCAAACAGG
This 253-nucleotide ribosomal RNA is filed under the name uncultured bacterium. RNAcentral's name for it is "partial 16S ribosomal RNA". It matches the Rfam family "Bacterial small subunit ribosomal RNA", at positions 524 to 776 of the family's 1533-position model. The record is from RNAcentral.